This 2571-nucleotide unclassified non-coding RNA is filed under the name Homo sapiens (human). RNAcentral's name for it is "kinesin family member 26B (ENSG00000281216.1)". Lineage: Eukaryota; Metazoa; Chordata; Mammalia; Primates; Hominidae. The record is from RNAcentral.
UCCUGAGAUGGCCCCAGAUCUGCAAGAGACAUUUGAGAGAAGCUAUUUAUUAGCAGACGUGAAGAAAUGGAUUCUGCACUUGAUUAUUUAGCCAUGACUUAUCAAUGAUGAUGGAUUGGAAAGCAGUAGCUGCCCAGAAGUUAAAUCUGUCUUCUAAAAAGAAGAAACAUCGGCCUUCCACUUCUUCCGCUGCCGAACCACCGCUCUUUGCAACCAGCUUCAGUGGGAUUCUGCAGACCUCCCCUCCCCCAGCCCCACCCUGCCUGCUGAGGGCUGUCAACAAGGUGAAGGACACCCCGGGGCUGGGCAAGGUGAAAGUCAUGCUUCGCAUCUGUUCCACCUUGGCUCGAGAUACUUCAGAAUCCAGCUCUUUCUUAAAGGUGGACCCACGGAAGAAGCAGAUCACCUUGUACGAUCCCCUGACUUGUGGAGGUCAAAAUGCCUUCCAAAAGAGAGGCAACCAGGUUCCUCCAAAGAUGUUUGCCUUCGAUGCAGUUUUUCCACAAGACGCUUCUCAGGCUGAAGUGUGUGCAGGCACCGUGGCAGAGGUGAUCCAGUCUGUGGUCAACGGGGCAGAUGGCUGCGUGUUCUGUUUCGGCCACGCCAAACUGGGAAAAUCCUACACCAUGAUCGGAAAGGAUGAUUCCAUGCAGAACCUGGGCAUCAUUCCCUGUGCCAUCUCUUGGCUCUUCAAGCUCAUAAACGAACGCAAGGAAAAGACCGGCGCCCGUUUCUCAGUCCGGGUUUCCGCCGUGGAAGUGUGGGGGAAGGAGGAGAACCUGCGGGACCUGCUGUCGGAGGUGGCCACGGGCAGCCUGCAGGACGGCCAGUCCCCGGGCGUGUACCUCUGUGAGGACCCCAUCUGCGGCACGCAGCUGCAGAACCAGAGCGAGCUGCGGGCCCCCACCGCAGAGAAGGCUGCCUUUUUCCUGGAUGCCGCCAUUGCCUCCCGCAGGAGCCACCAACAGGACUGUGAUGAGGACGACCACCGCAACUCACACGUGUUCUUCACACUGCACAUCUACCAGUACCGGAUGGAGAAGAGCGGGAAAGGGGGAAUGUCUGGAGGUCGCAGCCGCCUGCAUCUCAUUGAUCUCGGCAGCUGUGUGAAAGCUCUUAGCAAAAAUCGAGAAGGAGGCUCAGGGCUGUGUCUCUCGCUGUCUGCUCUGGGCAAUGUCAUCCUGGCUCUCGUCAAUGGCAGCAAACACAUUCCAUACAAAGAGAGCAAGCUCGCCAUGUUGCUGCGGGAGUCUCUGGGGAACAUGAACUGCCGUACCACCAUGAUCGCGCACAUCUCGGCCGCGGUCGGGAGCUACGCGGAGACCCUGUCCACCAUCCAGAUUGCAUCGAGAGUCUUGAGGAUGAAGAAAAAGAAGACGAAGUACACAUCCAGCUCGUCCGGCGGGGAGAGCUCCUGCGAAGAAGGCCGCAUGCGCAGGCCCACCCAGCUGAGACCCUUCCACACCAGGGCCACGGUGGACCCUGACUUCCCCAUCGCUCACCUGUCCAGCGACCCCGACUACUCCUCCAGCAGCGAGCAGUCCUGCGACACCGUCAUCUACAUCGGGCCCAACGGCACGGCCCUCUCUGACAAGGAGCUCACCGACAACGAGGGCCCCCCAGACUUUGUCCCUAUCGUGCCAGCCCUGCAGAAGACCCGGGGCGACAGCCGGCCCGCAGAGGCAGGAGAGGCUGCAGCCGGCAAGUCAGAAAGGGACUGCCUGAAGUGCAACACGUUUGCCGAGCUGCAGGAGAGGCUGGACUGCAUCGACGGCAGCGAGGAGCCCAGCAGCUUUCCUUUCGAAGAACUGCCUGCUCAGUUUGGGCCAGAGCAGGCAAGCAGAGGCCCCCGGUUAAGCCAAGCAGCGGGGGCAAGCCCACUCUCUGAGUCUGAUAAGGAAGAUAAUGGGUCCGAAGGUCAGCUGACCAACAGAGAAGGCCCUGAACUCCCAGCCUCCAAGAUGCAGAGGAGUCACUCACCUGUGCCCGCCGCGGCACCCGCCCACAGCCCCAGCCCGGCCUCACCCAGGAGCGUCCCGGGCAGCAGUAGCCAGCACAGCGCCUCCCCACUCGUGCAGAGCCCCAGCCUCCAGAGCAGCCGGGAGAGCCUCAACUCCUGCGGCUUCGUGGAAGGCAAGCCCAGGCCCAUGGGCUCCCCCCGGCUGGGCAUCGCCAGCCUGUCCAAGACCUCGGAGUACAAGCCACCCAGCUCUCCUUCCCAGAGAUGCAAAGUCUACACCCAGAAGGGGGUCCUGCCGUCUCCCGCCCCACUGCCUCCCUCGAGCAAGGAUUCCGGCGUGGCGUCUAGGGAGUCCUUGCUGCAGCCCGAGGUGCGUACGCCCCCGGUUGGAAUGAGCCCCCAGGUUUUGAAAAAAUCCAUGUCUGCUGGGAGCGAAGGGUUCCCGGAAACUCCUGUCGAUGAUGAGCAGCAGGCAGCUACUCCUUCAGAGUCCAAGAAGGAGAUCCUGAGCACCACGAUGGUGACGGUGCAGCAGCCACUGGAGCUGAACGGUGAGGACGAGCUGGUGUUCACGCUGGUGGAGGAGCUGACCAUCAGCGGGGUCCUGGACA